RNAcentral lists this ribosomal RNA (207 nucleotides) under uncultured bacterium. RNAcentral's name for it is "partial 16S ribosomal RNA". It matches the Rfam family "Bacterial small subunit ribosomal RNA", at positions 568 to 774 of the family's 1533-position model. The record is from RNAcentral.
CGCGUAGGCGGUUCGCUAAGUCGGAUGUGAAAACUCUGGGCUCAACCCAGAGCCUGCAUCCGAAACUGGCGGGCUGGAGUUCUGGAGGGGGUAGCGGAAUUCCCGGUGUAGCGGUGAAAUGCGUAGAUAUCAGGAGGAACACCGGUGGCGAAGGCGGCUACCUGGACAGAAACUGACGCUGAGGCGCGAAAGCUAGGGGAGCAAACA